Molecule: ribosomal RNA, 253 nt
Filed under: uncultured bacterium
Lineage: Bacteria
Description: partial 16S ribosomal RNA
Rfam family: Bacterial small subunit ribosomal RNA
Source: RNAcentral
UACGUAGGGGGCGAGCGUUAUCCAGAUUUACUGGGCGUAAAGCGCGUGUAGGCGGCUGGUUAGGUGUGAUGUGAAAUCCUGGAGCUCAACUCCAGAACUGCCUUCGAUACUGGAGAGCUCGAGUCCGGGAGAGGUGAGUGGAACUGCGAGUGUAGAGGUGAAAUUCGUAGAUAUUCGCAAGAACACCAGUGGCGAAGGCGGCUCACUGGCCCGAUACUGACGCUGAGGCACGAAAGCGUGGGGAGCAAACAGG